GUGAACGUUACCAAACUGUUGCCUCGGCGGGAUCUCUGCCCCGGGUGCGUCGCAGCCCCGGACCAAGGCGCCCGCCGGAGGACCAACCAAAACUCUUAUUGUAUACCCCCUCGCGGGUUUUUUUAUAAUCUGAGCCUUCUCGGCGCCCCUCGUGGGCGUUUCGAAAAUGAAUCAAAACUUUCAACAACGGAUCUCUUGGUUCUGGCAUCGAUGAAGAACGCAGCGAAAUGCGAUAAGUAAUGUGAAUUGCAGAAUUCAGUGAAUCAUCGAAUCUUUGAACGCACAUUGCGCCCGCCAGUAUUCUGGCGGGCAUGCCUGUCCGAGCGUCAUUUCAACCCUCGAACCCCUCCGGGGGGUCGGCGUUGGGGAUCGGCCCUCCCUCUGCGGGGGCCGUCUCCGAAAUCCAGUGGCGGUCUCGCCGCAGCCUCUCCUGCGCAGUAGUUUGCACACUCGCACCGGGAGCGCGGCGCGUCCACAGCCGUUAAACACCCAACUUUCUGAAAUGUUGACCUCGGAUCAGGUAGGAAUACCCGCUGAACUUAAGCAUAUCAAUAAGCGGAG
This 561-nucleotide ribosomal RNA is filed under the name Trichoderma sp. MKZ-2007b. Its description in RNAcentral is "eukaryotic LSU rRNA". The stretch from base 176 to 329 matches the Rfam family "5.8S ribosomal RNA". Lineage: Eukaryota; Fungi; Ascomycota; Sordariomycetes; Hypocreales; Hypocreaceae. The record is from RNAcentral.